UAGUGGCAGACGGGUGAGUAAUGCAUAGGAAUCUACCUAGUAGUAUGGGAUAGCCACUAGAAAUGGUGGGUAAUACUGUAUAAUCCCUGCGGGGGAAAGAUUUAUCGCUAUUAGAUGAGCCUAUGUUAGAUUAGCUAGUUGGUAGGGUAAAGGCCUACCAAGGCAGUGAUCUAUAGCUGGUCUGAGAGGAUGAUCAGCCACACUGGAACUGAGAUACGGUCCAGACUCCUACGGGAGGCAGCAGUGGGGAAUAUUGGACAAUGGGCGCAAGCCUGAUCCAGCUAUGCCGCGUGAGUGAGGAAGGCCUUAGGGUUGUAAAACUCUUUCAGUGGGGAAGAUAAUGACGGUACCCACAGAAGAAGUCCCGGCAAACUCCGUGCCAGCAGCCGCGGUAAUACGGAGGGGGCAAGCGUUGUUCGGAAUUAUUGGGCGUAAAGGGCAUGUAGGCGGUUCGGUAAGUUAAAG
Molecule: ribosomal RNA, 465 nt
Filed under: Anaplasma platys
Lineage: Bacteria; Pseudomonadati; Pseudomonadota; Alphaproteobacteria; Rickettsiales; Anaplasmataceae
Description: bacterial SSU rRNA
Rfam family: Bacterial small subunit ribosomal RNA
Source: RNAcentral